CCUACGGGAGGCUGCAGUGGGGAAUAUUGGACAAUGGGGGGAACCCUGAUCCAGCCAUGCCGCGUGUGUGAAGAAGGCCCUCGGGUUGUAAAGCACUUUCAGUGAGGAAGAACGCCUGGUGGUUAAUACCCAUCAGGAAAGACAUCACUCACAGAAGAAGCACCGGCUAACUCCGUGCCAGCAGCCGCGGUAAUACGGAGGGUGCGAGCGUUAAUCGGAAUUACUGGGCGUAAAGCGCGCGUAGGUGGCUUGAUAAGCCGGUUGUGAAAGCCCCGGGCUCAACCUGGGAACGGCAUCCGGAACUGUCAAGCUAGAGUGCAGGAGAGGAAGGUAGAAUUCCCGGUGUAGCGGUGAAAUGCGUAGAGAUCGGGAGGAAUACCAGUGGCGAAGGCGGCCUUCUGGACUGACACUGACACUGAGGUGCGAAAGCGUGGGUAGCAAACAGGAUUAGGUACCCUUGUAGUC
RNAcentral lists this ribosomal RNA (465 nucleotides) under Vreelandella stevensii. Its description in RNAcentral is "partial 16S ribosomal RNA". It matches the Rfam family "Bacterial small subunit ribosomal RNA", at positions 338 to 795 of the family's 1533-position model. Lineage: Bacteria; Pseudomonadati; Pseudomonadota; Gammaproteobacteria; Oceanospirillales; Halomonadaceae. The record is from RNAcentral.